Molecule: ribosomal RNA, 751 nt
Filed under: uncultured haloarchaeon
Lineage: Archaea; Methanobacteriati; Methanobacteriota; Halobacteria; Halobacteriales; Halobacteriaceae
Description: bacterial SSU rRNA
Rfam family: Archaeal small subunit ribosomal RNA
Source: RNAcentral
UCGGACCAUGACACCCUCGGGAAACUGAGGUUAAUCGUGGAUACCACACUCACACUGGAAUGUCGAGUGUGGCAAACGCUCCGGCGCCAAAGGAUGUGGCUGCGGCCGAUUAGGUAGACGGUGGGGUAACGGCCCACCGUGCCGAUAAUCGGUACGGGUCAUGAGAGUGAGAACCCGGAGACGGAAUCUGAGACAAGAUUCCGGGCCCUACGGGGCGCAGCAGGCGCGAAACCUUUACACUGCACGCCAGUGCGAUAAGGGGAUCCCGAGUGCGCAGGCAUAGAGCCUGCGCUUUUCUGAACCGUAGGGACGUUCAGGAACAAGGGCUGGGCAAGACCGGUGCCAGCCGCCGCGGUAAUACCGGCAGCCCGAGUGAUGGCCGAUCUUAUUGGGCCUAAAGCGUCCGUAGCUGGCCGCACAAGUCCACCGGGAAAUCCACCCGCUCAACGGGUGGCCGUCCGGUGGAAACUGUACGGCUUGGGACCGGAAGGCGCGACGGGUACGUCCGGGGUAGGAGUGAAAUCCCGUAACCCUGGACGGACCGCCGAUGGCGAAAGCACGUCGCGAAGACGGAUCCGACAGUGAGGGACGAAAGCCAGGGUCUCGAACCGGAUUAGAUACCCGGGUAGUCCUGGCCGUAAACGAUGUCUGCUAGGUGUGGCUCCCGCUACGAGCGGGUGCUGUGCCGCAGGGAAGCCGCUAAGCAGACCGCCUGGGAAGUACGUUCGCAAGGAUGAAACUUAAAGGAAUU